GACGAACGCUGGCGGCGUGCCUAAUACAUGCAAGUAGAACGCUGAAGAGAGGAGCUUACUCUUCUUGGAUGAGUUGCGAACGGGUGAGUAACGCGUAGGUAACCUGCCUUGUAGCGGGGGAUAACUAUUGGAAACGAUAGCUAAUACCGCAUAACAAUGGAUGACACAUGUCAUUUAUUUGAAAGGGGCAAUUGCUCCACUACAAGAUGGACCUGCGUUGUAUUAGCUAGUAGGUGAGGUAAUGGCUCACCUAGGCGACGAUACAUAGCCGACCUGAGAGGGUGAUCGGCACACUGGGACUGAGACACGGCCCAGACUCCUACGGGAGGCAGCAGUAGGGAAUCUUCGGCAAUGGGGGCAACCCUGACCGAGCAACGCCGCGUGAGUGAAGAAGGUUUUCGGAUCGUAAAGCUCUGUUGUAAGUCAAGAACGGGUGUGAGAGUGGAAAGUUCACACUGUGACGGUAGCUUACCAGAAAGGGACGGCUAACUACGUG
RNAcentral lists this ribosomal RNA (496 nucleotides) under uncultured bacterium. RNAcentral's name for it is "partial 16S ribosomal RNA". It matches the Rfam family "Bacterial small subunit ribosomal RNA", at positions 28 to 507 of the family's 1533-position model. The record is from RNAcentral.